UAGUCCCAAAUUCGGAACCGAAAAUAGCAGAAACAGCCUCAAACCAGCAUUACAGAACUGCCGGGAUUUUGGAAAGAUUAUUUCUGGCCAGCUUAUUUGAAAAACCAUAACAAACUGCAUGUAUAUUGAAACAGACCAAAUAAUAUGCCAAAUUAAAGCUAACAGCAGGAUCUACAAGUUCACUGAAGACAUAUUACCCAAAUUAUUACUCCAACAUAGCAUAAACAGCCCCGUAAGACGACGAAGGCUCAAAACUGCCCUGUUUACAGAUUUACGGUCACUUGAUUCGGACCUCCAAUCAGCUAUAAAACAUAAUCUAACACUACACAAUUUAACACUUACCAAUAGUUUUCGAGGUCCUCUACGAGUUUUGUCAAGGAAACUAUUCCCAAAUUCUCACUCCCGUCCCUUCGAUUUUGGCUCCGAAACCAGGUGCGGCAGCAUAUCUUUAUUUCUCUGAAUUUUGCCGACAUAACUAUCGGGUUUAAUUCGGUUAUAUAUAAUAGUCUAAAUUUGGGGAAAAUAUGAUAUUCCUAUAUUUUUCGAUCUGCUCUACAACUUUUGAGAAGAAACAAAUCCGAAAUUCAAAGCCUAAGUACCUCAAAUCCACUCCUCAAGUUCAGGGGCAGGCUGCACUUCUUGCCGUCUUCCGACCACCGUCAGUGACCUCCGCCGGCGAAAUACACCACCAUGGGGAAGCUGAAUUCCUG
RNAcentral lists this long non-coding RNA (710 nucleotides) under Erythranthe guttata (spotted monkey flower). RNAcentral's name for it is "long non-coding RNA (EGUT_LNC001688)". The record is from RNAcentral. Lineage: Eukaryota; Viridiplantae; Streptophyta; Magnoliopsida; Lamiales; Phrymaceae.